This 72-nucleotide transfer RNA is filed under the name Spirochaetaceae bacterium. Its description in RNAcentral is "tRNA-Cys". It matches the Rfam family "tRNA". From Rfam's summary of the family: Transfer RNA (tRNA) molecules are approximately 80 nucleotides in length. Their secondary structure includes four short double-helical elements and three loops (D, anti-codon, and T loops). Further hydrogen bonds mediate the characteristic L-shaped molecular structure. tRNAs have two regions of fundamental functional importance: the anti-codon, which is responsible for specific mRNA codon recognition, and the 3' end, to which the tRNAs corresponding amino acid is attached (by aminoacyl-tRNA synthetases). tRNAs cope with the degeneracy of the genetic code in two manners: having more than one tRNA (with a specific anti-codon) for a particular amino acid; and 'wobble' base-pairing, i.e. permitting non-standard base-pairing at the 3rd anti-codon position. The record is from RNAcentral. Lineage: Bacteria; Pseudomonadati; Spirochaetota; Spirochaetia; Spirochaetales; Spirochaetaceae.
GGCGCCGUACCCAAGCGGUAAGGGAGUGCACUGCAAAUGCACGAUGCAUCAGUUCGAUUCUGAUCGGCGCCU